UUUUAUUUGAGAGUUUGAUCCUGGCUCAGGAUGAACGCUGGCGGCGUGCCUAACACAUGCAAGUUGAGCGAUUUACGUCGGUAAAGAGCGGCGGACGGGUGAGUAACGCGUGGGUAACCUACCCUGUACACACGGAUAACAUACCGAAAGGUAUGCUAAUACGGGAUAAUAUAUUUGAGAGGCAUCUCUUGAAUAUCAAAGGUG
Molecule: ribosomal RNA, 204 nt
Filed under: Clostridioides difficile
Lineage: Bacteria; Bacillati; Bacillota; Clostridia; Peptostreptococcales; Peptostreptococcaceae
Description: partial 16S ribosomal RNA
Rfam family: Bacterial small subunit ribosomal RNA
Source: RNAcentral